RNAcentral lists this ribosomal RNA (468 nucleotides) under uncultured bacterium. Its description in RNAcentral is "partial 16S ribosomal RNA". It matches the Rfam family "Bacterial small subunit ribosomal RNA", at positions 28 to 507 of the family's 1533-position model. The record is from RNAcentral.
GACGAACGCUGGCGGCGUGCUUAACACAUGCAAGUCGAACGGAAAGGCCCUGCUCUUGUGGGGUGCUCGAGUGGCGAACGGGUGAGUAACACGUGAGUAACCUGUCCUUGACUUUGGGAUAACUCCAGGAAACUGGGGCUAAUACCGGAUAGGAGCUCUUGCUGCAUGGUGGGGGUUGGAAAGUUUCGGCGGUUGGGGAUGGACUCGCGGCUUAUCAGCUUGUUGGUGGGGUAGUGGCUUACCAAGGUUUUGACGGGUAGCCGGCCUGAGAGGGUGACCGGCGACAUUGGGACUGCGAGACGGCCCAGACUCCUACGGGAGGCAGCAGUGGGGAAUAUUGCGCAAUGGGCGGAAGCCAGAUGCAGCAGCGCCGCGUGCGGGAUGACGGCCUUCGGGUUGUAAACCGCUUUCGCCUGUGACGAGGCGUGAGUGACGGUAAUGGGUAAAGAAGCACCGGCUAACUACGUG